CUUUUUUUUUUUUUUUUGAGAUGGAGUCUCGCUCUUGUUGCCCAGGCUGGAAUGCAAUGGCACAAUCUUGGCUCACCACAACCUCCACCUCCCAGGUUCAAGGGAUUCUCCUGCCUCAGCCUCCCGAAUAGCUGGGAUUACAGGCAUGCACCACCACACCCGGCUAAUUUUGUAUUUUUAGUAGAGACAGUUUCUCCGUAUUGGUCAGGCUGGUCUCGAACUCCUGACCUCAGGUGAUUCACCCGCCUCGGCUUCCCAAAGUGCUGGGAUUACAGAGGUAACCCACUGCACCCAGCCGUAG
This 301-nucleotide long non-coding RNA is filed under the name Homo sapiens (human). Its description in RNAcentral is "long non-coding RNA NONHSAT117407.2". The record is from RNAcentral. Lineage: Eukaryota; Metazoa; Chordata; Mammalia; Primates; Hominidae.